GUGCUCGCUUCGGCGGCACAUAUACUAGAAGUGGGACAAUACAGAGAUUAGCAUGGCCCCUGUGCAGGGGGGACACCCAAGUUCAUGAAGCAUUUCAUGUUUUA
Molecule: small nuclear RNA, 104 nt
Organism: Pipistrellus kuhlii (Kuhl's pipistrelle)
Lineage: Eukaryota; Metazoa; Chordata; Mammalia; Chiroptera; Vespertilionidae
Source: RefSeq, a predicted model, not a curated record